UGAACUAAUGAAAUACAAAAAUUACUGAAGAAAUUAAUAAUCAAGGACGUUCAAAUCACUUUGGGUCAUUUCAGUUUAAAGUGGGUCAGACCAGUAAAAUACUAUCAUAAUAACCUAUAAAUAAU
Sphaeramia orbicularis (orbiculate cardinalfish) is the source of this 125-nucleotide long non-coding RNA. RefSeq lists it as uncharacterized. Lineage: Eukaryota; Metazoa; Chordata; Actinopteri; Kurtiformes; Apogonidae. The transcript is spliced from 3 exons. The record is from RefSeq and is a predicted model, not a curated record.